CAAGCUCAGUUCCUCCUCCUUAAUUGCAAUCAAUGCAAGACCAGCAGGGAGAGAAAUCCAUGUUUCUUUUCAGCUUUUGCUAGUUCACAAGUGUUUGCAAGUUGUGAAACUACGGAGGAUAUAUUAACAGGGCAGGUCUAGCAAAGGACAAGACACAGAGUGCACAGUUUAUGUCUCGCCCAAGAGGCUGAAUGACCCCGUCUAAGCGCAUAGAUCAAGUCGGCAGGGAAAGGCCUCAAGUCUCCAUUGUUUUUACACAGAAAAGCAACAGGACUGUGUCCUGCCUGAAGAGAGAACAAGAAGGCAAGUCAACAGCAGAAAAAACCUGACAACUGGAUUUCAUUCUCAGAGCACCUGCAUCUCCCACUGCUAUCAGAGCUGCGGGUGCCUGGCACUUCUGAAAAUGCAACCAGCUUAUUCAUCCUGUCUUAGAAUGAAGAGUUGCACAAGUACAGUACAAAAUGGAGUCUUUCCUUUUCUACCAUUCACCAAGCACAGAUUACUGCAUCAGUCAAGGUUUAUGGAACAGAAGUGUAUAUACGCUACCUUUAUUCCAUUUCUUCAAGUACCACACAUGUUUGAUUCACUCUUCUCCACCGUGAUUUUACAUUUUUCACAGGAGAAAAGCUCAGCAAGUCAGUAGUUUGUUUGAACCAUCACUGGUAAAGUGCAGGUGGAUAAGUAUUUUGGAUAUGGCUGUUUUUCUAGCCACAAGGUCUCAUUACUGUUGCUGCUAUGAAAUCUCCCCAUGGUUUCUGACAUAAAUGCCAUGCUCAGACCCUGGGUCACUAGUCCUGGAGGUCUGUAAAGCUGGAACUUCAAACAUGGGCCUCAGAAUAAGAUUUCAGUUCAUCAGACUGUUGUGGGAUCCCCAGAACAGUGAAACAGGCAACCAUUUCACUUGAUGGCUACAUGACAACAGUAGGAGUUUUACAGUUUAUUGAAACAUUCACCACCUUCAUCAUCACUUGGAUUUACCAGCUGCAUUGUCCCGAAGGCCCCGACAGAAUCAGAACCUUACUGGGCCACAGAUUUUUUUAUAGACAGCCAGAAGAUAUAGAUCAUGUUUCAAAGAGAUAAAGAUUUACACUUGAAAGAGGUUAUGAAAUGACUUCUGUCUCAGAAAACAGCAUCGAUAGCCAUUACUCAGUCUGUCCAGCUGGCUCAAAGGCACUUCCUGAUUUGGAGGAAGAAAACCUGCCAGCUUUUGAAAUGAAUAUAUUAUUAUUACUGGUAUCUUGCUUUUUAAUCCUUCACUAUGUGGAUAGCAUGAUCCUCAUCAAAAAGGAAACCAGAAGGGUGCGCACAUGCUGCCAAAAGUCUGCUAGAAAAGGAUUCUUGGCUAAAAUUUUCAAAGCUGCUUGAAAGGAUUUCCUGCUGACUUCAGUCCUGUAAAUCCAGCCUUCCCUGCACAAGGAUAAAGGAGAGGCUACACACCAACAUCAACAUUUAUUUAGCUUUAUGAUCAACUUACAUUUUCCCUUUAAACUGGAAUCUCAGGCUCAGAACCUUGUUCUUAGUGAUGACCUGGUCUGCUGUCUGCACCACUAUAAAAGACUGAGGACAAAAAGCCCUGUCCAUAACCCACUGUACAACAGACACUUGCAAAAUGCCACAAUCCCCAAAGCUGAUCUGGUGGACUGAGCUGUUCAGCAUAAUCCAACUCUUAAUGUCAAAGAAAAAUUAUUUCUCAGUAGCAAUUAAUCACCUGGAAUAUGCAGCAAAAGGCAAUUCAACUGAGUUUUAGUUUCUCAUGCAAAAUAAUCAACAGAGAAAGAAUCAUAAUAACAAUCUAAGCUAGGCCAGUAAGGCAGUAAUUUUGUGGUGUUUAUGUUUAUUCAGCACGUGGAGCAGAUAUAAGGUCAGUCAGAGCUAAGUCGUUGGUAUGAACCAGCAGACUUAGAAUUGUCUGUUUUACCUCUGCAAGGUACUUCUGCCAACUCUCUGUGUGCACAUACGCAGGCACGUCGCAAGAAGAGCCAAAGGCCACGAAUGCAUUGCAAAGUGCAAGUUUUAUUUUAGUUACCUCUCUACUGGGGGAUCUCUGAAGUGGCAGACAGAGGUGACACCAGCGGGGACGCAGGCGCUGGUCAGUUCAGCCCUCUGGAAGAUCACUUGGCCCACUGAGCUCACCUGUAUUUCAAGGCUUCAGGCAGGCACAGCCUCCUGCUCUUUCUCACAACAAAGCAGGAAUCUCAGACACAGUGAUAAGGUGCCUGGAGUUUCUGACAGGCCUAUCUAACCCAGAGGUUCUACUCAUCAAGCACACAGGUCAGUAAAACAAUUAGUGUGAUCUAUGUGCUUUUCCUACAGACAAGGUGCAAGUCAGUUGAGUGUAUUUACAUUUAACUAACCUCCUUGCCAAAUCUCCUGCUACAUUCCCAUACACUCUCAUAUGCUAAAUAUUUCCAUUAAUAUUUCUGGAAAUUACUGCUGAGUUAUUAGUUGUGAUCGGGAUGUAAAUGAUGCAAAAAGAUUGUUCCUCAGGGCCAUGAAGAAUGAAGAGAUAGGCAGUCUUGGAAAGAUCACAACAGAUGAACAAAACACAUGAGAAAAUGGGAACUCAGAUUUAUAUGACAAUCCUAUCUUUGCUUCAUUAAUGAGGGCCUAGUAAAGACAUGAGAAUCUUGCUCUAGUCCCCAUUAACUUCCCUGGGCAGUGUAUCAGACUCCUAAGGCAGCUUAUGAUGCCCUGCUGAAGACAGAAUGGGACUCUCUGAUAAUGAAGAACCAAAAGCACAGGCACGUUAGUUAAGCAGUCAGCCGUGACACCAUUAGAGCUGCAACCAAAAUUACCACAAAGCAAUGAAACUGCAAUUUCUAAUAGGCCAUAGGCUUCAAACCAAAAGCCACAGCACCUUCCCAGGAACAUAAAACCCAAGAUGCUUUCUCCUUAAGCUAGCCAAAAGAAAAGCAGCAGUACCGUGCUGCACAGGGAGUCAAUAACCAACAAGAAGAUCACUUUGUUAAUGCAUAAAGAACUACCAUAUACACACUGUCUUAUAAAAUGGAAACUCUGACAGUCACUCAGCAUUGUAAGUAUCCUUAAUACCCAGGAUCUCUCUUUUCUGAUUAAUACAGAGGCUGUGUUUCUUGGAGUUUUGUCCUUGCUAGAGCCUGCUGUCUUAGUGACUGUAGACAGUUUUCUCCUCGUUGUUUCUCUGUAUGGUAAGCAAGGACAUAACACAACCUCCUUUACACAAAGAAACAUUUUUCUCUCUUCUGCACACACUGUGACUCUAACCAUCCACUUCCAGUUACAAUGGGUAACCCAAAGCAACAGAAAUAUCAUUCUUUCUGUCUCUACUCCCUCUAGAUUUUACCAUUGCACUUACCUGAGCUGUGGGAGUAGUUAUGGAGAAAUGGAGAUGACUUGUGCACUUUGGCUUCUUCUGUUCCAGCCAGCAACACACUGGCAGUAAUCUCUUCCUCCUAUGGAGAUAAAGAGAGAUAAUUAAGAUAAACUAGACUUGCUGUUGUGCUCCCUGCUGGGAGGUAUUAAGAAGGAACACACGCUGGUCUGCUUCAAAAGACUUGUGAGGUAUAGAUGAGCUUUGCCGUUUGGAGAUGGGGCAGAAGCUUUUGAUGUGUUUCACUUAGGACAAUGCAAGAAAAUGAUUUCACUUCUUUUUCAUUUUGUGCAGUGUUCAAUGAUUGGACCUAGUGUUGAACUUACAACUGGAUAUUCAUGUGCUGAAACCAGGGGUCAGGGAAAUGCUACUUCAGUAUCUGUGGAAGGAACAUUAUACGAAAUGCAUUAGGGAAGGGUAGGUAGUAUAGAACUUCCAUUUCCAAACUGGCUCCUUGGGAGACGUGACAAUGCUGGGUUUUAAAAUACUGAACAAUUUGCAUUUAUUUAUAUAUAUAUAUUAAAAAAGGGAGAACCGUGUACAAAGGAAACCACAAACACGUACAGAAUGCCUACCGCCAGCAACAUCGUGGCGUUUGCCAGUACUUAAAGGUUAUGUCUGUCAUGUUUAGAUGUGGCAUAAACUCUUCCACCCUUUCCCACAUAAUUGGACAUCAUACUGAUAGGUAAAAUUGAAUAGGUUAUGAACAACUCUCCUAUAGACUUGCAGGGUUUAUUGAUAGACAGGGCUUGGAGAGAAGGCCUAAUUUUAUGCAUGAACAUGUCAUGCUAGAAUAAUUACGCAACCUCUUGCUUUCCUUCUGCAGUACAUUGUGAAACCCCACAACAGUUCCUGGGAAUUCAUACCUUUCACUUUUGCAUAAACACAACUGAUGUAGUUAACAAGGGGCAAUAAAUUAUUAAGGUGGAUGCAACAUAUAACCAAAAAUAAAGAUGUGAAUAGUUAUAUAUAUAUAUAUAUAUAUAUAUAUAAAAUUGUAUUGCUGUCAAGGUGUAUGAAAGUCACUUCAGCCUAUACACCUUUUGUAAACAGCAGCAAAUGCAGAAUUAGCUCUCAUUGAGAGAUCUAUGAUCAUUGCUUUCCUUCUCCUACUUUUCUGGCUGACUGAUGGACAUGUGAGCAAACACUGAGGUGGCAUUUUGCCUCUGGUCAGCCUGAAUUGUGGUUUGUUUUUUAUUUAGUUCAUGGUAAGUUUAACCACUGUGAAGUAUCCCAUUUUAGUCUAAAAUGAGAAAUCUUUCUGGAUCAUUGCUGAAAAUCACUGACAGCUGACUAUAAACUUGCUCUCACCUAAGCAGGCUGAACGAAAACUUACGGUUAAGGGAAGGAAAAUGUUGGGAUGGGGAGAAAAUCUCAAGCUGAAAAUAGCUGCACACUGGGAAGGUGAUAUUAGGGGGAUGGAGGAGUAUCCUCAUACUUUCUCUGUUCUUAUUCUCUCCAGGCAUCUGUUCACUGUCACAGUUUUAUGUAUUUUUUUUAAACUAGUACACAAUGUUCACGCCUAUAUUUCACAUUUGGAAAAGCAGAUUUCAAAUAGCAAUACAAAAAGUAUCCAUGAAGAAUGUAUAAUCUCUGAAAAAACCUGACAGCAUUCUUGCUACUCUUUCAUUUCUAAAUACAAAGCUGACUGCCAUAUUGCUGCUUCUGUUUUUGUGGUGAGAAAAGUUCAUUUUUUGUGUGAAUGGCAUGAAUGACAGUCUCCCAACUUUGAUUUCUUUGUCAUUUAGGAUUUUUUCUCCUGAAGAAAGAUGUUCUAAGUGCACAGCUAGCUCAUCACAUCCAGUUUAGGACAGAGCUAAAAGAGCCUCUGGGUCAUUUACGUCUGAGCAGAAGCACUUUAGUUGCUGUGUGUUUGGGUCGAAUCAGGUCCUCGACCCAUUCUGCACCUGUGGCUGCCCUGGCCACCCUGGCUCUUUCUGGGGAAGGAUGAGUCUCUACUGUUAAUUUGUAGCUGUCAUAUGAUAUAAAUUGCUUGUUUACAGAAAUAUAUAUUAUACUGAGCCCCCUGGCUCUUUGACUG
Long non-coding RNA from Columba livia (rock pigeon), 5390 nucleotides. RefSeq lists it as uncharacterized. The record is from RefSeq and is a predicted model, not a curated record. The transcript is spliced from 3 exons. Lineage: Eukaryota; Metazoa; Chordata; Aves; Columbiformes; Columbidae.